Molecule: ribosomal RNA, 454 nt
Filed under: uncultured copper smeltery bacterium D104
Lineage: Bacteria
Description: bacterial SSU rRNA
Rfam family: Bacterial small subunit ribosomal RNA
Source: RNAcentral
GCCCUUAGAGUUUGAUCAUGGCUCAGAACGAACGCUGGCGGCAUGCCUAACACAUGCAAGUCGAACGAGACCUUCGGGUCUAGUGGCGCACGGGUGCGUAACGCGUGGGAAUCUGCCCUUGGGUUCGGGAUAACAGUUGGAAACGACUGCUAAUACCGGAUGAUGACUUCGGUCCAAAGAUUUAUCGCCCAGGGAUGAGCCCGCGUAGGAUUAGCUAGUUGGUGAGGUAAAGGCUCACCAAGGCGACGAUCCUUAGCUGGUCUGAGAGGAUGAUCAGCCACACUGGGACUGAGACACGGCCCAGACUCCUACGGGAGGCAGCAGUGGGGAAUAUUGGACAAUGGGCGAAAGCCUGAUCCAGCAAUGCCGCGUGAGUGAUGAAGGCCUUAGGGUUGUAAAGCUCUUUUACCCGGGAUGAUAAUGACAGUACCGGGAGAAUAAGCCCCGGCAAGGG